Molecule: ribosomal RNA, 253 nt
Filed under: uncultured bacterium
Lineage: Bacteria
Description: partial 16S ribosomal RNA
Rfam family: Bacterial small subunit ribosomal RNA
Source: RNAcentral
GACAGAGGGUGCAAACGUUGUUCGGAAUUACUGGGCGUAAAGCGUGUGUAGGCGGUCCUCUAAGUCGGAUGUGAAAUCCCUGGGCUCAACCCAGGAAGUGCACUCGAAACUGGAGGGCUAGAGUAUCGGAGAGGUUGGUGGAAUUCUCGGUGUAGAGGUGAAAUUCGUAGAUAUUCGGAAGAACACCAGUGGCGAAGGCGACUUACUGGACACAUAUUGACGCUGAGGUGCGAAAGCGUGGGGAGCAAACAGG